GCUCAGGACGAACGCUGGCGGCGUGCCUAAUACAUGCAAGUCGAGCGGACAGAAGGGAGCUUGCUCCCGGAUGUUAGCGGCGGACGGGUGAGUAACACGUGGGUAACCUGCCUGUAAGACUGGGAUAACUCCGGGAAACCGGAGCUAAUACCGGAUAGUUCCUUGAACCGCAUGGUUCAAGGAUGAAAGACGGUUUCGGCUGUCACUUACAGAUGGACCCGCGGCGCAUUAGCUAGUUGGUGAGGUAACGGCUCACCAAGGCGACGAUGCGUAGCCGACCUGAGAGGGUGAUCGGCCACACUGGGACUGAGACACGGCCCAGACUCCUACGGGAGGCAGCAGUAGGGAAUCUUCCGCAAUGGACGAAAGUCUGACGGAGCAACGCCGCGUGAGUGAUGAAGGUUUUCGGAUCGUAAAGCUCUGUUGUUAGGGAAGAACAAGUGCAAGAGUAACUGCUUGCACCUUGACGGUACCUAACCAGAAAGCCACGGCUAACUACGUGCCAGCAGCCGCGGUAAUACGUAGGUGGCAAGCGUUGUCCGGAAUUAUUGGGCGUAAAGGGCUCGCAGGCGGUUUCUUAAGUCUGAUGUGAAAGCCCCCGGCUCAACCGGGGAGGGUCAUUGGAAACUGGGAAACUUGAGUGCAGAGUAGGAGAGAUGGAAUUCCACGUGUAGCGGUGAAAUGCGUAGAGAUGUGGAGGAACACCAGUGGCGAAGGCGACUCUCUGGUCUGUAACUGACGCUGAGGAGCGAAAGCGUGGGGAGCGAACAGGAUUAGAUACCCUGGUAGUCCACGCCGUAAACGAUGAGUGCUAAGUGUUAGGGGGUUUCCGCCCCUUAGUGCUGCAGCUAACGCAUUAAGCACUCCGCCUGGGGAGUACGGUCGCAAGACUGAAACUCAAAGGAAUUGACGGGGGCCCGCACAAGCGGUGGAGCAUGUGGUUUAAUUCGAAGCAACGCGAAGAACCUUACCAGGUCUUGACAUCCUCUGACAACCCUAGAGAUAGGGCUUUCCCUUCGGGGACAGAGUGACAGGUGGUGCAUGGUUGUCGUCAGCUCGUGUCGUGAGAUGUUGGGUUAAGUCCCGCAACGAGCGCAACCCUUGAUCUUAGUUGCCAGCAUUCAGUUGGGCACUCUAAGGUGACUGCCGGUGACAAACCGGAGGAAGGUGGGGAUGACGUCAAAUCAUCAUGCCCCUUAUGACCUGGGCUACACACGUGCUACAAUGGACAGAACAAAGGGCUGCGAGACCGCAAGGUUUAGCCAAUCCCACAAAUCUGUUCUCAGUUCGGAUCGCAGUCUGCAACUCGACUGCGUGAAGCUGGAAUCGCUAGUAAUCGCGGAUCAGCAUGCCNGCGGUGAAUACCGUUCCCGGGNCCUUGUACACACCGCCCGUCACACCACGAGAGUUUGCAACACCCGAAGUCGGUGAGGUAACCUUUAUGGAGCCAGC
Molecule: ribosomal RNA, 1452 nt
Filed under: Bacillus pumilus
Lineage: Bacteria; Bacillati; Bacillota; Bacilli; Caryophanales; Bacillaceae
Description: 16S ribosomal RNA
Rfam family: Bacterial small subunit ribosomal RNA
Source: RNAcentral